RNAcentral lists this transfer RNA (73 nucleotides) under Capillimicrobium parvum. RNAcentral's name for it is "tRNA-Gln". It matches the Rfam family "tRNA". Rfam says of the family: Transfer RNA (tRNA) molecules are approximately 80 nucleotides in length. Their secondary structure includes four short double-helical elements and three loops (D, anti-codon, and T loops). Further hydrogen bonds mediate the characteristic L-shaped molecular structure. tRNAs have two regions of fundamental functional importance: the anti-codon, which is responsible for specific mRNA codon recognition, and the 3' end, to which the tRNAs corresponding amino acid is attached (by aminoacyl-tRNA synthetases). tRNAs cope with the degeneracy of the genetic code in two manners: having more than one tRNA (with a specific anti-codon) for a particular amino acid; and 'wobble' base-pairing, i.e. permitting non-standard base-pairing at the 3rd anti-codon position. Lineage: Bacteria; Bacillati; Actinomycetota; Thermoleophilia; Solirubrobacterales; Capillimicrobiaceae. The record is from RNAcentral.
UGCGGGGUCGUCUAACGGCAAGACGCCUGCCUCUGGAGCAGGUUAUCGGGGUUCGAAUCCCUGCCCCGCAGCC